GUGGGGAAUUUUGCGCAAUGGGGGAAACCCUGACGCAGCAACGCCGCGUGAGUGAUGAAGGCUUUCGGGUCGUAAAGCUCUGUCAAGUGGGAAGAAAAUGAUCGAUGUUAAUACCAUCGUUCACUGACGGUACCACUAAAGGAAGCACCGGCUAACUCCGUGCCAGCAGCCGCGGUAAUACGGAGGGUGCAAGCGUUAUUCGGAAUUAUUGGGCGUAAAGGGCGCGUAGGCGGUUUCUUAAGUCAGAUGUGAAAGCCCGGGGCUCAACCCCGGAAGUGCAUUUGAAACUAAGGAACUUGAGUAUGGGAGAGGGAAGUGGAAUUCCUGGUGUAGCGGUGAAAUGCGUAGAUAUCAGGAGGAACACCGGUGGCGAAGGCGACUUCCUGGACCAAUACUGACGCUGAGGCGCGAAGGCGUGGGGAGCA
This 425-nucleotide ribosomal RNA is filed under the name uncultured bacterium. Its description in RNAcentral is "bacterial SSU rRNA". It matches the Rfam family "Bacterial small subunit ribosomal RNA", at positions 354 to 770 of the family's 1533-position model. The record is from RNAcentral.